GAUGAACGCUGGCGGCGUGCCUAAUACAUGCAAGUCGAGCGAACAGAUAAGGAGCUUGCUCCUUUGACGUUAGCGGCGGACGGGUGAGUAACACGUGGGUAACCUACCUAUAAGACUGGGAUAACUUCGGGAAACCGGAGCUAAUACCGGAUAACAUUUGGAACCGCAUGGCUCUAAAGUGAAAGAUGGUUUUGCUAUCACUUAUAGAUGGACCCGCGCCGUAUUAGCUAGUUGGUAAGGUAACGGCUUACCAAGGCGACGAUACGUAGCCGACCUGAGAGGGUGAUCGGCCACACUGGAACUGAGACACGGUCCAGACUCCUACGGGAGGCAGCAGUAGGGAAUCUUCCGCAAUGGGCGAAAGCCUGACGGAGCAACGCCGCGUGAGUGAUGAAGGGUUUCGGCUCGUAAAACUCUGUUAUUAGGGAAGAACAAACGUGUAAGUAACUGUGCACGUCUUGACGGUACCUAAUCAGAAAGCCACGGCUAACUACGUG
Molecule: ribosomal RNA, 497 nt
Filed under: uncultured bacterium
Lineage: Bacteria
Description: partial 16S ribosomal RNA
Rfam family: Bacterial small subunit ribosomal RNA
Source: RNAcentral